GCUCAUGACAUAUCAUAGAAACAUCAAGCGGGCAAUAGUUAUUAAGUUACUAUGCUACAACAUGGAUGCGAUUACCAAAAAAAUAAGAAAAAACUUGGUUCUUCCACUCUAUGGUAUUACUGAUAACUUGCAUAUAAAAGUUGUAACUUUGGGGAAUUACUCACUUGUGGAUGCUCUUGAUAGUUUUCUUUGGAUUUCUCCUUGACGACGCCCUAACUUGUGUGGUUCUAGACUUAUGCAGUACCUUGCAACUUACAUGAAUCUGCAUCAAUUGAAGAUGAGAAACUUUAAAUGGGUAUAAAAGUCACUAAAUGCAAGAAAGAAACUGAAUUUUGAUCAAAUCAUUCACAAUAAUUAUAUUCAAAUUCAAGAUUCGAGAACCAAAACAACUCUGAUAAAUUGGAUAUCUCUGAAACGGGCAUAAAAUUUACUAAAAGAAAGAAAAGACCCUAGCUUUGAUCAUCUCAAACACAAUCUUUAUCUUCAAAUUCAAGUUCUAUGACUCAAACAAACAAUUGGGUAUCUCUAAAAGAACUCAAUUUUGAUAAACUCAUUAAUUCUUGAAAACAAACUCGACCACUUUCUAUAAGAAGAAUGCUAGAAUAAAGAAUUACCUGGCAAAAAAUUAAGAGUUGGA
This 637-nucleotide long non-coding RNA is filed under the name Capsicum annuum. RNAcentral's name for it is "long non-coding RNA (CANN_LNC013732)". The record is from RNAcentral. Lineage: Eukaryota; Viridiplantae; Streptophyta; Magnoliopsida; Solanales; Solanaceae.